Molecule: ribosomal RNA, 300 nt
Filed under: uncultured Prauserella sp.
Lineage: Bacteria; Bacillati; Actinomycetota; Actinomycetes; Pseudonocardiales; Pseudonocardiaceae
Description: bacterial SSU rRNA
Rfam family: Bacterial small subunit ribosomal RNA
Source: RNAcentral
CUAACUACGUGCCAGCAGCCGCGGUAAUACGUAGGGUGCAAGCGUUGUCCGGAAUUAUUGGGCGUAAAGAGCUCGUAGGCGGUGUGUCGCGUCUGCCGUGGAAACCUACAGCUUAACUGUGGGCGUGCGGUGGAUACGGGCAUCACUUGAGUUCGGCAGGGGAGACUGGAAUUCCUGGUGUAGCGGUGGAAUGCGCAGAUAUCAGGAGGAACACCGGUGGCGAAGGCGGGUCUCUGGGCCGAUACUGACGCUGAGGAGCGAAAGCGUGGGGAGCGAACAGGAUUAGAUACCCCAGUAGUC